UGAGUACGAGCUGCUACGGCAGCGAAGUGGGUGACGUCAAGCUUCCAAGAAAAGCCCUAUACCCGUUAAGGCAUGAUGGCCUGUACCCGAAACCGACACAGGUGGGGUGGUAGAGAAUACCGAGGGGCGCGAGAUAACUCUCUCUAAGGAACUCGGCAAAAUGGCCCCGUAACUUCGGGAGAAGGGGUGCCACCGCAAGGUGGUCGCAGUGAAGAGGCCCAGGCGACUGUUUACCAAAAACACAGGUCUCCGCUAAGUCGCAAGACGAUGUAUGGGGGCUGACGCCUGCCCAGUGCCGGAAGGUUAAGGAAGCUGGUCAGCGUAAGCGAAGCUAGCGACUGAAGCCCCGGUGAACGGCGGCCGUAACAAUAACGGUCCUAAGGUAGCGAAAUUCCUUGUCGGGUAAGUUCCGACCCGCACGAAAGGCGUAACGAUCUGGGCGCUGUCUCGGAGAGAGGCUCGGCGAAAUAGAAUUGUCUGUGAAGAUGCGGACUACGUGCACCCGGACAGAAAGACCCUAUGAAGCUUUACUGUAGCUUGGUAUCGUGCUCGGGCUCGGAAUGCGCAGGAUAGGUGGGAGGCUAUGAACCAUUGCUUGUGGGUGAUGGUGAGCCACUGGUGAGAUACCACUCUUUCCGAGCUAGAGUUCUAACAGCCACCCGUUAUCCGGGGGCUGGACAGUAUCAGGUGGGCAGUUUGACUGGGGCGGUCGCCUCCUAAAAGGUAACGGAGGCGCGCAAAGGUUUGCUCAGGCUGGUUGGAAAUCAGCCGACGAGUGUAAAAGCAGAAGCAAGCUUGACUGUGAGACCUACAAGUCGAACAGGGAGGAAACUCGGCUUUAGUGAUCCGACGGUUCUGCGUGGAAGGGCCGUCGUUCAACGGAUAAAAGUUACUCUAAGGAUAACAGGCUGAUCUCCCCCAAGAGUUCACAUCGACGGGGAGGUUUGGCACCUCGAUGUCGGCUCAUCGCAACCUGGGGCUGAAGUCGGUCCCAAGGGUUGGGCUGUUCGCCCAUUAAAGCGGUACGCGAGCUGGGUUCAGAACGUCGUGAGACAGUUCGGUCCAUAUCCGGUGCAUGCGCAGGAAUAUUGAGAGGAUUUCUCCCUAGUACGAGAGGACCGGGAGGAACGCACCUCUGGUGUACCAGUUAUCGUGCCAACGGUAAACGCUGGGUAGCCAUGUGCGGAGAGGAUAACCGCUGAAAGCAUCUAAGUGGGAAGCCCACCUCAAGAUGAGUAUUCCCAUGGGUUAACCCAGUAAGGUCACGGGAAGAACACCCGUUGAUAGGCUCUACGUGGAAGCGCAGUAAUGUGUGAAGCGGAGGAGUACUAAUAGACCGAGGGCUUGAC
This 1349-nucleotide ribosomal RNA is filed under the name metagenome. Its description in RNAcentral is "bacterial LSU rRNA". It matches the Rfam family "Bacterial large subunit ribosomal RNA", at positions 1564 to 2925 of the family's 2925-position model. The record is from RNAcentral.